Molecule: long non-coding RNA, 1672 nt
Organism: Megalobrama amblycephala (Wuchang bream)
Lineage: Eukaryota; Metazoa; Chordata; Actinopteri; Cypriniformes; Xenocyprididae
Exons: 4
Source: RefSeq, a predicted model, not a curated record
UAACGUGACAUCACACAAACACAGAGAGAGAAAGAGAGGCAGAGUGAGAUUUAAGAACCAGUUAAACAUGAUUCAAUAACAUUUUAAACAAUAAGAAUAAAAUCUAUAUUGACAGAAAUUAGUCUUUGAUGAUCUCUUAAUAUAUACAUUGUUAUACUUACUUAAAGGCGUUUAUAGAAAAGUCAUCAUUAGCAGUUAAAACUGUUAUUUGUCCAGAUUAAUUUAUCUUAAGGUCUUAUACGUUAUUAUUAACUAAAUUAUUAAACUAAUUAUAUAAUACUGCAGAAGAUUGAAGAUUCGCUUCCGGGUCGAGAACACUGUGUGAGUCUGUGUUGCCGCUUCGCACCUGGACUGUUUGUAUGUUUUUGCCAGGGCCGGCGAUUGCUAUAGGCGAACUAGGUGGUUGCCUAGGGCGACAAAUAUGUUGGGGGAGCGGGCGCUUGCGCCCUCUAGGGUCUCCUUUAUGUUACGUUACGUUAGGCAAGUGCGCAGUUGAUGAAGAAAAUGAAGCGGUCUAAUAAACCCUCCGGUGCACAGGGAUGAAAACGGAGAAAGGAAGAAGAUAAAAGGAAAACCCAGUAUAGAGAUGCACUCAGGCAAUAUUUGCAGAGGCCGGCACCUGCUGGAGAAAGGACACCUGAUCCUUCAUGUUCUCCUCUCUCUGAACUUUCUGCAGGAGUAGGGACAUCCAGUAGUGGUACUCCAGGGACCAGUGACACACAGGCCAGGAACACACAGCCUGCAUCAAGUGAAGGUGAAGGGACACCCAGGACCACAUCAAGCACUCAGGGCACCAGUCAAAGACAGACGACUGAGACCAGGGACACGCAGCCUGAAGGAAGUUAGUCCUUUGAAUAACUAAUUCAAGCUUACAACCAUCUGACAAUAUGUACUAGAAGAUAAUGAAAACACAUGGAAAUCACAAUAACAUCCCAUCCCUAUGAAUCUAAUUUCAACCACAGUUUUAGGGGGGCGCAAAACUCAAUCUCGCCUAGGGCAACCAAAGGGCUAGAGCCGGCCUUGGUUUUUGCUACAUGUUUCUCCACUGUACUGUUUGGAUUAUUUUUGUCAGUAUUCUGUCUGGAUUACUUAAUUUCUUGCUGCUGAUCUUUGAACUGGACUAUUGUCAUUAUCAAACUCCUGUUGUCUGUGAGCUUGCCGCCGGGCUGCUGUGAGCCUUCUACCCGUUAAUGUCUCCACCACGUUCGGCUCUUCUGAUGGGUGAGUUACCCCUCUCUCAGUCGGUAGCGCUGUUCGUUUAAUCGCUUGCUAUCUGGGUGUGUUAUCUCCUAUUUAGUUUGCUGUUUUUGGUGAAGUGGCGCUCAGGGUCUGGCUAACGUGGUUUUUGCCUAUGAUUGGCUCGCAUUUGAUCAGUACUAACACGCCUUGGGCAAAACUUUUUCUUUUUUCUUCUCUUAUCUGCCUCAUCUUUUUCACUUCCAAAAUGGAUAUUGGAUAUUUACCAUCGCAGCUAAGGGCCUUGAAUUGCCACCCGCAUCUCGAUUCUGUGACAUAUGAAUGCUGCCGGAGUCUAGGGAUUCUUGGGUGCCCUCGAUACAUACACCAUUGCAUAACCUGAUAUUGCUGAGUUCAUAUUGAGGAUGUUCCUGGUUCAACAUUUUUGUUGAUCCUGGAACAACAUUCAAAUCUACCAAUCAGAUUUCAGGGACAA